This 253-nucleotide ribosomal RNA is filed under the name uncultured bacterium. RNAcentral's name for it is "partial 16S ribosomal RNA". It matches the Rfam family "Bacterial small subunit ribosomal RNA", at positions 524 to 776 of the family's 1533-position model. The record is from RNAcentral.
CACGUAGGGCGCAAGCGUUGUCCGGAAUUAUUGGGCGUAAAGAGCUCGUAGGCGGUCUGUUGCGUCCGCUGUGAAAACUCGGGGCUUAACCCCGAGCCUGCAGUGGAUACGGGCAGACUAGAGGUAGGUAGGGGAGAAUGGAAUUCCCGGUGUAGCGGUGAAAUGCGCAGAUAUCGGGAGGAACACCGGUGGCGAAGGCGGUUCUCUGGGCCUUACCUGACGUUGAGGAGCGAAAGCGUGGGGAGCGAACAGG